This 421-nucleotide ribosomal RNA is filed under the name uncultured bacterium. RNAcentral describes it as "bacterial SSU rRNA". It matches the Rfam family "Bacterial small subunit ribosomal RNA", at positions 355 to 774 of the family's 1533-position model. The record is from RNAcentral.
UAAGGAAUAUUGGUCAAUGGACGCAAGUCUGAACCAGCCAUGCCGCGUGAAGGAUGAAGGUCCUCUGGAUUGUAAACUUCUUUUAUCUGGGACGAAAACGGGAUUUUUAUCUCAAUUGACGGUACCAGAGGAAUAAGCACCGGCUAACUCCGUGCCAGCAGCCGCGGUAAUACGGAGGGUGCGAGCGUUAUCCGGAUUUACUGGGGUUAAAGGGUGCGUAGGUGGGCUUAUAAGUCAGUGGUGAAAUCUCCGAGCUUAACUUGGAAACUGCCGUUGAUACUAUAGGUCUUGAAUUAUCUGGAGGUAAGCGGGAUAUGUCAUGUAGCGGUGAAAUGCUUAGAUAUGACAUAGAACACCAAUUGCGAAGGCAGCUUACUACAUAUAAAUUGACGCUGAGGCACGAAAGCGUGGGGAUCAAACA